AAAGAAAGCUUGGAAAGAGAAAUGCAGCAGGGACUAGUCACACUCUACAAGCGCUGCAUGGCAUAAAGACUUGGUCUUUUUGUGCACGCUACCCAGAAUUCCUUGUGACAUUUGUUGUGUGAAGAUUACUCACUGGCCCGUAG
Long non-coding RNA from Cyprinus carpio (common carp), 143 nucleotides. The record is from Ensembl. Lineage: Eukaryota; Metazoa; Chordata; Actinopteri; Cypriniformes; Cyprinidae.